This 1511-nucleotide ribosomal RNA is filed under the name Klebsiella pneumoniae. Its description in RNAcentral is "bacterial SSU rRNA". It matches the Rfam family "Bacterial small subunit ribosomal RNA". The record is from RNAcentral. Lineage: Bacteria; Pseudomonadati; Pseudomonadota; Gammaproteobacteria; Enterobacterales; Enterobacteriaceae.
AGAGUUUGAUCAUGGCUCAGAUUGAACGCUGGCGGCAGGCCUAACACAUGCAAGUCGAGCGGUAGCACAGAGAGCUUGCUCUCGGGUGACGAGCGGCGGACGGGUGAGUAAUGUCUGGGAAACUGCCUGAUGGAGGGGGAUAACUACUGGAAACGGUAGCUAAUACCGCAUAACGUCGCAAGACCAAAGUGGGGGACCUUCGGGCCUCAUGCCAUCAGAUGUGCCCAGAUGGGAUUAGCUAGUAGGUGGGGUAACGGCUCACCUAGGCGACGAUCCCUAGCUGGUCUGAGAGGAUGACCAGCCACACUGGAACUGAGACACGGUCCAGACUCCUACGGGAGGCAGCAGUGGGGAAUAUUGCACAAUGGGCGCAAGCCUGAUGCAGCCAUGCCGCGUGUGUGAAGAAGGCCUUCGGGUUGUAAAGCACUUUCAGCGGGGAGGAAGGCGNNCGAUUGACGUUACCCGCAGAAGAAGCACCGGCUAACUCCGUGCCAGCAGCCGCGGUAAUACGGAGGGUGCAAGCGUUAAUCGGAAUUACUGGGCGUAAAGCGCACGCAGGCGGUCUGUCAAGUCGGAUGUGAAAUCCCCGGGCUCAACCUGGGAACUGCAUUCGAAACUGGCAGGCUAGAGUCUUGUAGAGGGGGGUAGAAUUCCAGGUGUAGCGGUGAAAUGCGUAGAGAUCUGGAGGAAUACCGGUGGCGAAGGCGGCCCCCUGGACAAAGACUGACGCUCAGGUGCGAAAGCGUGGGGAGCAAACAGGAUUAGAUACCCUGGUAGUCCACGCCGUAAACGAUGUCGAUUUGGAGGUUGUGCCCUUGAGGCGUGGCUUCCGGAGCUAACGCGUUAAAUCGACCGCCUGGGGAGUACGGCCGCAAGGUUAAAACUCAAAUGAAUUGACGGGGGCCCGCACAAGCGGUGGAGCAUGUGGUUUAAUUCGAUGCAACGCGAAGAACCUUACCUGGUCUUGACAUCCACAGAACUUUCCAGAGAUGGAUUGGUGCCUUCGGGAACUGUGAGACAGGUGCUGCAUGGCUGUCGUCAGCUCGUGUUGUGAAAUGUUGGGUUAAGUCCCGCAACGAGCGCAACCCUUAUCCUUUGUUGCCAGCGGUUAGGCCGGGAACUCAAAGGAGACUGCCAGUGAUAAACUGGAGGAAGGUGGGGAUGACGUCAAGUCAUCAUGGCCCUUACGACCAGGGCUACACACGUGCUACAAUGGCAUAUACAAAGAGAAGCGACCUCGCGAGAGCAAGCGGACCUCAUAAAGUAUGUCGUAGUCCGGAUUGGAGUCUGCAACUCGACUCCAUGAAGUCGGAAUCGCUAGUAAUCGUAGAUCAGAAUGCUACGGUGAAUACGUUCCCGGGCCUUGUACACACCGCCCGUCACACCAUGGGAGUGGGUUGCAAAAGAAGUAGGUAGCUUAACCUUCGGGAGGGCGCUUACCACUUUGUGAUUCAUGACUGGGGUGAAGUCGUAACAAGGUAACCGUAGGGGAACCUGCGGUUGGAUCACCU